This 66-nucleotide transfer RNA is filed under the name Aegla aff. longirostri MHT-2018. Its description in RNAcentral is "tRNA-Asn". Lineage: Eukaryota; Metazoa; Arthropoda; Malacostraca; Decapoda; Aeglidae. The record is from RNAcentral.
UUAGUAGAAGCCAAAUUAGAGGCAAACCACUGUUAAUGGUUAAAUUGAAAUAAAUUUCCUUCUAAG